GUUGGGGUAGGAAUCUCAGAGUUAUUGUCUAACGGAACGGAAUGUGAACGUUAGGAGGAGGCUUAUAACUAGCUGCUUUGUUAUUCCGCAUUCACCAUG
The sequence is a regulatory RNA element, 99 nucleotides long. It matches the Rfam family "THF (Tetrahydrofolate) riboswitch aptamer". From Rfam's summary of the family: THF riboswitch presents a pseudoknot that joins P1-P2 and the loop of P3 and two THF binding. The record is from Rfam.